GAUGAACGCUGGCGGCGUGCUUAACACAUGCAAGUCGAACGGUGAAGGCGGAGCUUGCUCUGCUGGAUCAGUGGCGAACGGGUGAGUAACACGUGAGCAAUCUGCCCCUGACUCUGGGAUAAGCGCUGGAAACGGCGUCUAAUACUGGAUACGAGCUGCGAAGGCAUCUUCAGCAGCUGGAAAGAACUUCGGUCAGGGAUGAGCUCGCGGCCUAUCAGCUUGUUGGUGAGGUAACGGCUCACCAAGGCGUCGACGGGUAGCCGGCCUGAGAGGGUGACCGGCCAAAGGGGGAGGGAGACAGGGCCGAGUCCCCUGGGGGGGGGAGGAGGGGGAAAUAGUGCAAAGGGGGGAAAAGCGUGAGGGAAACACCCCGGGGGGGGGACGAGGCCCUUGGGUGUGAAAACCUUUUUUAGGGGGGAAAAAGGGAAAGGGAUGGUACCGGAAAAAAAGGCGCGGGCAAACGACG
RNAcentral lists this ribosomal RNA (466 nucleotides) under uncultured bacterium. RNAcentral describes it as "partial 16S ribosomal RNA". It matches the Rfam family "Bacterial small subunit ribosomal RNA", at positions 28 to 505 of the family's 1533-position model. The record is from RNAcentral.